UUCUGUAGGUGAACCUGCGGAGGGAUCAUUACCGAGUUUACAACUCCCAAACCCAAUGUGAACGUUACCAAACUGUUGCCUCGGCGGGAUCUCUGCCCCGGGUGCGUCGCAGCCCCGGACCAAGGCGCCCGCCGGAGGACCAACCAAAACUCUUUUUGUAUACCCCCUCGCGGGUUUUUUAUAAUCUGAGCCUUCUCGGCGCCUCUCGUAGGCGUUUCGAAAAUGAAUCAAAACUUUCAACAACGGAUCUCUUGGUUCUGGCAUCGAUGAAGAACGCAGCGAAAUGCGAUAAGUAAUGUGAAUUGCAGAAUUCAGUGAAUCAUCGAAUCUUUGAACGCACAUUGCGCCCGCCAGUAUUCUGGCGGGCAUGCCUGUCCGAGCGUCAUUUCAACCCUCGAACCCCUCCGGGGGGUCGGCGUUGGGGAUCGGCCCUCCCUUAGCGGGUGGCCGUCUCCGAAAUACAGUGGCGGUCUCGCCGCAGCCUCUCCUGCGCAGUAGUUUGCACACUCGCAUCGGGAGCGCGGCGCGUCCACAGCCGUUAAACUA
Molecule: ribosomal RNA, 546 nt
Filed under: Trichoderma harzianum
Lineage: Eukaryota; Fungi; Ascomycota; Sordariomycetes; Hypocreales; Hypocreaceae
Description: eukaryotic LSU rRNA
Rfam family: 5.8S ribosomal RNA (bases 232-385)
Source: RNAcentral